CACAGAGCCCAUUGGUCUGGGGAUGGUAGUGGUCACUGAUUAUAGGCUUAAUGUCACAGAAUUUCCAGAGGUGCUGUGUGACCUCCGCGGUAAACCGAGUACCCUGAUCCGAGAUGAUCUCCCUGGGUAACCCCAUCCGGGAGAAAAUCUGCAUGAGGGCCUCGGCUACCGUUCCAGCGUGGAUAUUGGUCAGUGCCACCGCCUCUGGGUAUCUAGUGGCAUAGUC
Pelobates cultripes (western spadefoot toad) is the source of this 226-nucleotide non-coding RNA. The record is from the annotation of a GenBank genome assembly. Lineage: Eukaryota; Metazoa; Chordata; Amphibia; Anura; Pelobatidae.